GGAAAAUAUUGCAAUCAUUGUUGGUCUUAAGGAUGAUGUUACUCGUCCUGUCAAUUGUACACCUAUUUGUUCAAAACACCGCUGCACUAGAAUGUUUCAGCUGUCAGUCUAUAAACGAUGUCAAUAGUUGCAACAACACACUGGUAUGUAAGGAUGGACAGGCUUGUUUUCUAAAUACUUCAUCGACAAAUCAACAUCACAUGAAUGUACUAGGUUGUAUCGACAAUCAG
This is a long non-coding RNA of Ruditapes philippinarum (Manila clam), 230 nucleotides long. RefSeq lists it as uncharacterized. The record is from RefSeq and is a predicted model, not a curated record. NCBI's taxonomy places the organism in Eukaryota, Metazoa, Mollusca, Bivalvia, Venerida, Veneridae. The transcript is spliced from 4 exons.